UACGUAGGGUGCGAGCGUUGUCCGGAAUUAUUGGGCGUAAAGAGCUCGUAGGCGGUUUGUUGCGUCUAUCGUGAAAACCUGCAGCUUAACUGUGGGCUUGCGGUGGAUACGGGCAGACUUGAGUUCGGUAGGGGAGACUGGAAUUCCUGGUGUAGCGGUGAAAUGCGCAGAUAUCAGGAGGAACACCGGUGGCGAAGGCGGGUCUCUGGGCCGAUACUGACGCUGAGGCGCGAAAGCUAGGGGAGCGAACGGG
This 253-nucleotide ribosomal RNA is filed under the name uncultured bacterium. RNAcentral describes it as "partial 16S ribosomal RNA". It matches the Rfam family "Bacterial small subunit ribosomal RNA", at positions 524 to 776 of the family's 1533-position model. The record is from RNAcentral.